Molecule: non-coding RNA, 576 nt
Organism: Leptonychotes weddellii (Weddell seal)
Lineage: Eukaryota; Metazoa; Chordata; Mammalia; Carnivora; Phocidae
Source: RefSeq, a predicted model, not a curated record
GCUUAUUAUCCUGGAUUGAGCUCUGUGUACUUUUUCUCUUGGACUCCACUUAUGUGCCUUUUCCCUUUGCUGAUUUUAGUCUGUAUCUUAUUGUGUAAUAAGCCUUGACUGUUCCUUCAAAUACAUCAGAAAUAUGUUGUAUUAUUAGAGCAACACCAGGAACUAGACAAAUGAAAAGUAAAGAUGUUGUAGUAAAGAAGAAGAAAUAUUCCCCACCUAAAGAUAUUCCUCAAGAUAUUAUAAUAAAAACAAAUGGCAGAAUGUAGCAGCCAUGGCUGAAUUUUCACCACUUUGAAGAUAUACAUGAAGUCAAAGUCCAUAAAGCAGAAUGUCUGCCUGAAAUUAUAUAUAAUUCAAAAAUCAAAAUUCUCUAAUUAUUUGUGAUAUAUCCUGGUGAUGAAAUUCUACUGAGAUUCUUAUAAUUUACUUUUAAUCAGUAAAGAAACAUUCUUAUGUAUGCCUCUUAAAUAUGUGUAUUUGUAUUGUAAAAUAAGAAUAAAUAGCUUAUAUUAAAAGACUGUAUACUAAACAGAUGAUUUCAGCUAUUUAUAAAGAGCAAAGUACCAGGCUACUAUG